UCCCCAGUAGCUCAGUGGUAGAGCAAGUGACUGUUAAUCACUUGGUCGGGUGUUCAAUCCACCCCUGGGGAGCCA
This 75-nucleotide transfer RNA is filed under the name Silvanigrellaceae bacterium. RNAcentral's name for it is "tRNA-Asn". It matches the Rfam family "tRNA". From Rfam's summary of the family: Transfer RNA (tRNA) molecules are approximately 80 nucleotides in length. Lineage: Bacteria; Pseudomonadati; Bdellovibrionota; Oligoflexia; Silvanigrellales; Silvanigrellaceae. The record is from RNAcentral.